Parus major (Great Tit) is the source of this 1657-nucleotide long non-coding RNA. The record is from Ensembl. NCBI's taxonomy places the organism in Eukaryota, Metazoa, Chordata, Aves, Passeriformes, Paridae.
AGGGGAAAAGCGGGGGAGGGGAGGGAGGGGAGACCUCCCCCUCCGACCUGUGCCACCCCCUCCCCAUUUCGCCGUGUCCCCCGUGUCGCCGUGGAUGCCAUGGGUAAUUGUGUGUGACCGUUGUAAUUCCCGUGAUAAAAAACACAAACAACAAAAAAAAAGGGUUGCUUUUUAUUAUUUUCCUUUUUUUUUUUUUUUUCUUUUCCCUUGAUAAUUUUUAUUUUCUAUCAGAGUGUCCGGCUUUAAUAAAAAUUAAUUUUUUUUUUUACUUUUUUUUUUUUUUUGGACUCUUUUUUCUCUCUUUUCUGGCGCUGUUUUUCCCUCACUUUCCACCCCCAAAAUUGAGAAUUUCGAUGGGGAUGAGACAUCCCCGAUUCUCUUAUUUCCUCCCCAAAAUCUCAGAGAAAAAAUGAGAUUUAUCCCCACCGUGGAUAAAAUUCCCAACAGCGGGAAUUUGGGGUCUAUUCCCGCCUCCCCCCGCCAAAAAAUGGGAAUUAACACCAGCAAAACCUCGAAUAAUCAGUUUAUUUCCAAUAUAUAGACCAGGAGGUGGGAGGGCAAAGCAGGGGGGAUUUUUGGGGUUGGUUUGCGGUUUUUAUUUAUUUUUUUUUUUGCAGUUUUGCAGAUCCCGACGGGGCCGAGGCGCCGGGAAUGGGGGUGGGGAGGGGUUUUGGGUUUUUUUUGGGGAGGGGGGGACAUGCAGGAGGGUUUUAAAAAGUCACCACUGAGCACGUCCCCUGCUCGGGGCUGGCUUUUUCCGCUGAGCAAAACUUCUUUAAAAAAAUCCUUUAUAAAUCCUUUGGGAUAUGUUACACGGGCACAGAGACGAUAUUUACAGGGAAGGGGGGAAAAAUAAAACCCACCAAAAAAAAAAAUGGAAAAAAAAAAAUCCCAAAAAUUCGAAAAGAAAAACAAAUUUUACAGCAAAUAUUUGCAUAACGUAAUGAGAACGACACGGAGAGACGGUGACGGGAGGUGACACCAAGGCCACCGAGCUGGUGGCACUCGGUGUCCCCGCGUGGCCACGCCAGGGGUCCCCGCGCCCCCUUCCUAAAGUGCUUCUGGCCUGGGGGGCAGGAAGGGGACAGCGGUGGGAAGGGACAGCGACACGGUGGCAGUGUCCCCUCCCCGUGUCACAGGGUGUCCCCACUCAGUGCCAGCCCCUCCCCGGCUCCUGGGGACACCCCAGGCUCAGGGUGACAGCGCUGAGGUCCCCAAGGGACCCUGGCACACGGGGGGGGUCCCUGAGGUGGGGUCCUCAAGGUGCUCAGGGCAUGGAGAGUCCCCAAGGUCCCCCAGGGCAGGGGUCUCUGACCCUGAUGUCCCCAAGGUCCCCAGCACAGGGGUCUCUGACCCCGAGGUCCCCAGGGUCCCCAACCCGGGGCAGGUCCCGGCCGGAGCAGCCGCAGCGCCCAGGGAAGUGCCCGCACUUCGCUCCGCCGCGGCUGGGGACAGCAGGGCCACCACUGGGGACAGUCCCCGCCAGCCCCUCCCGGCACUGCCUGGGGGCUGCGGGACCCCGCUGGUCCCCAAAGCGUGGAGGGGACGAGGUGGCUUUGUCCCCCCUCCCCAGGCGCGGGGCCACCGGGACCUGGUAAAUAAUCACAGCAGCUUGUCCGGAGCACAAUUAAAUACGGGGACAAGGGACAAUCCUUAA